RNAcentral lists this long non-coding RNA (1488 nucleotides) under Manihot esculenta (cassava). Its description in RNAcentral is "long non-coding RNA (MESC_LNC006780)". Lineage: Eukaryota; Viridiplantae; Streptophyta; Magnoliopsida; Malpighiales; Euphorbiaceae. The record is from RNAcentral.
CUCUGGCUUACUUACUCUGGCCCUGCAAAACUGGGGUUAAGGGAAUGGGGUGAGCUACAAGAGCCCAGUGAGUAGAAAUUAAAAACAUUUGCUUUAGUUCCUCCAUUUUUAGGUAUAUUAUUAUCUAUUUUAUUGUUCCACCCUUUUUAUGUAUUUUAUUAUAAAGACAUUUUAUUAUUCAUUAUUUAUUUUUAUUCUCUUUUAUUUCAUGCUUUCAUGAAAUGCGUCAUAACACAGAGAAAUCACAUACUUUUUCCGUCUCGGGGUUCACACAAGCAUACAUCCCCACGGAACCUGGUUUCUGAGAGUCCUCGUAAAAUGCUAGCAUCUUUCCUCUCAGAGGAUGGACAUGACCUCAAAAAUACCCUCUGUCGGUGCCCGGCUCCCCAAAGAAGCUCACACAGGCCAUACACAUACACAACAGGGUACCUAGUCCACAGAGAGCUCACAAGGACUUUCCUACAUGUACUUGUCCGGCUCCCAAAGGACUUACCCAAGACUCAGUGACAGAUAUGGGCUAUUGAAGUCGCCUUGGUCCACCCUUUCUGAAACAACAUGAAAUAAUGCAAUGCGUCACCUUCGUGAAACUAGUGCAAUCAUCCUAUCACAUAUAAACAUGAUGCAUGCAUAUGCUUUAGGCAUUUGAAUUCUUUAAAAUAAAAGAUGCAUUAAACAUUGGAUUUUCUUAAAGUAAAAGAUUGAGUUAGUUCUACUCACCUGAAGCCACUGCUCAACAAACUCAGGGUCAACUAGCACUGAAGCUAGACACCUCUCCUCAGGUCCAAUCCUACACAGAUGGACUCACAUGAGGUACUAAACACAUGCUAACAACUCAUAAGCAACUCCCCAAAAAUCCCUCUAAACAUCACUAAAACAUGCAUAGGAAACACCCAAGAAACGGCUGGACAGGGCACUUUCGGCGGCACCUUCGGCGGCCGAAAGUCCCUUCCAGAAACGAAACUCGGGUAAGUUCGGCGGCAGGUUCGGCGGCCGAAACCCCUGGACAGAAACGAAAGUCCCUCCUUCGGGGGCACAUUCGGCAGCCUAAAGACUGCCUCCCAUGCAGGUUCGGCGGCCGAAACUCCUUUCGGCGGCCGAACCUGGUCCCCUCUGGACGACAGGUCCGAUUCUGCCAAGCCAAAAACCAAACUCAAAACACCCCAAAUCCUUACAUACUCUCUCCCAAACAUUCAUACUCACUUCCACAUGCAUAAAGGAGCAUAAACUAACAUAAACUCCUCAACACAAACAUCACAUAACAUACAUUGGGUAUAAAACCCACAUAAACCUUAAACAUACAUUUCUACCCAAACUCAACCAUCAAACUCUAUAAAACUUACUUCAAACUUUAUCAAAACACUAGGGAAGCCAAGAUCUACACUUACCUCUUGAAGAUCGAGGGUUGGUGCGAUCCCUAACUCGGAGGUGUGGAGAAUCCAAGCUCCAAAAGCUCCAAGCUCUCAAAACUUCUAUUUUAGCUUCAAAACU